AUAUAAACCCUACAAGCAACACAAUGCUGUACGCGGAGGAAUAAAUUGUGCGCUUAUACAUGUCAGCUAGACCGCAGUCAUACCCAGUUAUAUUGUGUUUGCGAUGUUUUAGGUUUAUUCCACUUAAUAUACCUUCAGGCAAGGAAACAGCUGUUACAACGAUCCCAAGAAUAAUGAUGCUCACCAAAGCUUGACGUGGCGAUAACGGAAGUUUUAAUGGCCACCAAAUUCUGUGCAGUCUGUUAGCGGACAUCAUUACUAGCAACAGUGAAGCCAUUACAGAUAGAUGAACACUAAUUACUUUGAAUGACUUACAUGCGUUUUCUGCAUAAAAUGUUAAUUGGUGUGUCUGCUGGUAAAAUUCAAAAGGGAUAAUUAUUAUGCAUAUUAGAAAAUCUACAAUAGUAAUGGUACGAAUAAAAGUCCAGUGUGCUCCUUCGAGUUUCCAUAGCGAUCCGAAAUAUAUCAGAAUUACCAAAGUAUUCCCAGGUAUCCCAAUAAUCAUAACCAAUGAUAAAUAAACUAUUGUCGGAAUACGUUCCAUCAAUUCCUCAGUAUUCAAGGUCGCCAAAGUAAUUGGUGCUUCCGAAACAUUCAUGAUAACUCUUUCUUUUGAUUAAAUAAUUAACAUUCAUUUAAUCAAUGUC
Molecule: long non-coding RNA, 647 nt
Filed under: Mytilus galloprovincialis (Mediterranean mussel)
Lineage: Eukaryota; Metazoa; Mollusca; Bivalvia; Mytilida; Mytilidae
Source: RNAcentral